CCCUUAGAUGUUCUGGGCUGCACACGCGCUACACUGAUGCGAUCAACAAGUUUUUCCUAUGUCGAUAGACACGGGUAAUCUUUUGAACUCGCAUCGUGAUGGGGAUAGAUUAUUGUAAUUAUUAAUCUUCAACGAGGAAUUCCUAGUAGGUGCAAAUCAUCAGUUUGCAUCGAUUACGUCCCUGCCCUUUGUACACACCGCCCGUCGCUGCUACCGAUUGGUUGAUCUGGUGAAUUAUUCGGACUGCCGGCUGAAGGGGUUUCCUCAUCUGCCAGCGGAAAGUCUUGUUAACCCUAUCAACUAGAGGAAGCAGAAGUCGUAACA
This 324-nucleotide ribosomal RNA is filed under the name uncultured eukaryote. Its description in RNAcentral is "partial 18S ribosomal RNA". It matches the Rfam family "Eukaryotic small subunit ribosomal RNA", at positions 1470 to 1796 of the family's 1831-position model. The record is from RNAcentral.